This 289-nucleotide ribosomal RNA is filed under the name uncultured euryarchaeote. RNAcentral's name for it is "partial 16S ribosomal RNA". It matches the Rfam family "Archaeal small subunit ribosomal RNA", at positions 490 to 778 of the family's 1478-position model. The record is from RNAcentral. Lineage: Archaea; Methanobacteriati; Methanobacteriota.
GGCAGNCACCAUUANUGGGCUUAAAGNGUCCGUAGCUUGUUUGGNAAGUCUCUGGUGAAAUCCUGCAGCUUAACCGUAGGGCUUGCCGGAGAAACUCUCGGACUAGAGGAUNGGAGAGGUCGGAGGUACUUCUGGGGUAGGGGUGAAAUCCUAUAAUCCUAGAAGGACCAACAGUGGCNAAGGCGUCCNACAUGAACAUGCCUGACAGUGAGGGACNAGAGCCAGGGUCGCGAAACGGAUUAGAUACCCGUGUAGUCCUGGCCGUAAACGAUGUUGACUAGGUGGGGCG